This 327-nucleotide ribosomal RNA is filed under the name uncultured eukaryote. RNAcentral's name for it is "partial 18S ribosomal RNA". It matches the Rfam family "Eukaryotic small subunit ribosomal RNA", at positions 1470 to 1796 of the family's 1831-position model. The record is from RNAcentral.
CCCUUAGAUGUUCUGGGCCGCACACGCGCUACACUGAAGGAGGCAGCUUGUACUCCUGGAUCGAAAGAUUUGGGUAACCCGCGAAUCUCCUUCGUGCUAGGGAUUGAGGUUUGCAAUUAUCCUUCAUGAACGAGGAAUUCCCAGUAAGUGCAAGUCAUAAGCUUGCGCUGACUACGUCCCUGCCCUUUGUACACACCGCCCGUCGCUACUACCGAUUGAAUGAUUUAGUGAGGACUUCGGACUGGGACCGAUGCGGCUUUCGGGCUGCGUCGGUAUUCUGGAAAGAUGUCCAAACUGUAUCAUUUAGAGGAAGUAAAAGUCGUAACA